RNAcentral lists this ribosomal RNA (2121 nucleotides) under Triticum aestivum (bread wheat). RNAcentral describes it as "partial small subunit ribosomal RNA". Lineage: Eukaryota; Viridiplantae; Streptophyta; Magnoliopsida; Poales; Poaceae. The record is from RNAcentral.
CUUUAUCAUGUCAUUGUACUACACGACCUAUGGUAGGAAUAUUUCAGAGGUGAACAUUUUUAUCUGUUGGUAUUUAAGCCCAUUUAACAACCUACAGUUUCAACCUAAUCCCCAUUAUCUCAUCUCGCGUCGCCCCGAUCCAAUCUUGUGUCGUCUCCUUCCUUUCAUCGUCUCGAUCCAAUCUGCUCGCAUCCCCUCCGCCGCUCCUCUCCAGCAGCCCCCACGCUCCCACUCCCGCCCCGUCCACCUCCGCUGCCCCCACCAUCGACGCAACAACCACCGCCACCGCCGCCAUCGAGACCCCGGAGGAAGCUAUGCAGCACCGGUGGUGGAAUAGGCGCCGCCAACACCAGAGGCAGCCGCGCUUGGUAGGAGCAGCCUCUGGACGAGACAAUUCUCCACAUGAUCUGGUGACACAAGCCGUUGACCCACCUGAAGAACCCCGUUUCCUGCGGCUGCUCUUCUGGACGCUCUUGGCGCUGCUCACCCAUGGCGUGAUGUCCGCUGCCGAUGCCUCCAACCACGCUGACCUCUUGCUCCAGUUCUUCCACUUGGCUUAUAGCUAGGUGGUUCUGGGCUUCAGGUCGGAGCCAACCACCGUGGCGCUCCUCUACCACGCCUGCUGCAUCCUCCUCGAGACCAUGCCGCCCUUCUUUGUUUCCUUGAUGAGGCCACGACCGCAGGCAUUUUGCAGCGCUGCUCCCAUCCAGAUGCUUUGUUGUGGUGCUCCUCCUCUCAUUAUCUCCAUUUAAAUGUUUGAGCGGGAAUCAAUGUCGCUUUCUGGCUGUGCAUGAGUGGACAUGUUCAGCGCGUGUGGGAUUUCUCAAGUUCAAAGCUGACAUCGUCGAUGAGAAGACUGAACCUAAGGCUGAAGGUGGAGGAUGGUGUGGACGAGAUUUGGUCCGAGCAUUGCACUCGGAGAUGCUCUAAUAUUUAAGGAGUCCUUGUUUCUUAUAUUAUAUUUUAUCACAUUGCCAUCAAAUUAAAUUGCUUGAUUGAGUAAAUAGGUUCAUAAUCUACUAGUAAAUCUUUGCUAGCAUUAUUGGCAAGUUUCUGUAAGUAAUCUUUCUAGUCAAGCACUUGUGUAUCAUAUAUAGUAAUCUUAAGUUUUGCCAUUUUUCUCUUCUGAAUUUCCUCAUCUUGUUUUCAUAGCCAUGCUGGUUGCGUCUUCUAUGCUACUUGGUACACUCGUUAGACCCCAAAGCGUUGAAAUCUUCUUUUUUUGUUAAUAUAAUAUUACGUGAAAUGCCUAUUAAUAGGUCUGCUUAUUUAAAGUACUACAUUACAGAAUCAGUUUUGUUAAUUUUUACCAUCAAUGCAAAGACAAACAUGUAUUUGUGUGCUAAUUUUGCUACUUUAUUACAUUCAUGUUUGCUUUAGGAAAGUACAUAUGCGCAUGAAUUUUUUUUGCAUUGUCUAAGGUCCAAUUCCAAACGAGUUGAAGUGGAAUUCUUUUAGUUAGUUCUAUGACAAAUGUUAGUAAGUAUUUUGCAAUUCAUUUAGUUCCACUCUUUUUCAUCUUGCUGGUUCAGGUAGUACAAUCAUGCCACUAGUUCGGGAGAGUGAGAGGGAAAGGAGGGCAUUCCUUGCGGAACAUAAACGCAUGGGUGGUGUGUAUGCUAAGCUAAGGGGUGUAUUGAUUACAUGUACUUUAACCAUUAUACCUCUAGCUCUAAGUUAUGCAUGUUAUCUUGUUAGUUUUCAUCUCAUUAUGAUGCAAUGUUGUUGUGUUUGUCAUUUAUAGGCAUCGGGAGGAGUUAGCCGCAAGACUUGAAGCACAAGAGAGAGCAUUUGAAGAGAUACAAAAGAAGCAGCAAGAAGAAUUGGAGGCUCUAAAGAAGAUCCAACAAGAGAAGAAUGAAGCCCGGGCAAAGAUGCAAAAGGAGAUGCAUAAUCUGCUUGAUUUUCUCUUGAGGGCUCAAGCAACUUAGCAAGCAACUCUGCAAUCCCAGUCCAAACCAGAUGGUUCAUGAAAGCCAUCCUUACAUUGCAAUCAUCGGGACAACAUAUGUGGUCUUUAGUUAAUAUUAGUUUUCAUCUUGUCUAUUGUCUGUGUCAAACUUGAGUUAGUUUUUUACCCCCAUUUUUGUUUACAGAAUGAUUUGGCUGAGACGAUUUAAU